UCUCCGUUGGUGAACCAGCGGAGGGAUCAUUACAGGGCUCGCAAGACUCCUACAACCCUGUGAACUUAACUAUAAGCACGUUGCUUCGGCGGGUGUCUCGGAGGGGGUUCUCCCUCCCCGAGACGCUAAACCCGCCGGCAGCCUACUAUACUCUGUCUCUUUGCGUUGGCAUCUCGAGUACAAUCAAACAAGUUAAAACUUUCAACAACGGAUCUCUUGGUUCU
RNAcentral lists this unclassified non-coding RNA (224 nucleotides) under plant metagenome. RNAcentral describes it as "partial contains small subunit ribosomal RNA, internal transcribed spacer 1, and 5.8S ribosomal RNA". The record is from RNAcentral.